GCAACUGGAGUACUUGGACACUGCUGAUGGUGUAAGUUGGCAUAGUUACCUUGGAAACUGUCUGGUAACAUACAUGUACCCCAUGACUCAUCGGUUCACCCAACAUAAAUCUGCACCUGUUCUCACAUGCUCAUGGUGGCCCUGUUUGUAAUGGCCAGAACUAGAGAAUGCACAGGACACUGUGAUAAAUACUCUGUGGUACAUCACACAGUGGAAUACCACACAGCGACGAGAUGGAUGAUCUGUGGUCACGCACAACGGGGACCAUGGCCCAAUUCCAUCCAUGUCAGCGUUAAUAGCGGGCUGCUGGCCCUUCCCCUAGAAGCCAGCAGAGUGCUCACCCACAGUGAAAGGAUGACUGGAAGGAGCAGAAGGGCUUUUAGGGGCUGCUCAAGUUCUGUUUCUUGACCUGAGUGGUAGUUCUACAAAUUCCUUUUGUGAAAAAACAUCAAACUGUAUAUUUAUGAUGUACAUCCCUUUUUAUAUGUGUAUAUUUCAACAAAGAAUUAAAAAGUAAAGGCAGCAUCCUUGACUCAGGAAGCACACAACUUGGUGGAGAAGACAGACAAUAAGUACAUAAAUAAACUAAGUUUAUAAUUAAAACAUCAUGACAUAGGCGAAGACGCCAUCCCUUUUGCUGUCACCUUGCUGCUUUCUCCUCUGGAAGCACUGUAGCCAUCCUGGUGACUUUACCGCCUGUCUGUGGAUCUAUCAGCGCUUUGCCGUAUCCAUCCUACACAACAGUGACCAUAAUGCACAACACAUUGUAGAUUCUCCAGGAUUUGGUCCAAAGAACAUAUAAUGUACUUUGCUUCCCAUGAACUUCUGGAUUAAGACUAGCCAUCUGUAACCAUUCUGCAUGCUUCAGUGCCUGGGAUACUGUUCAGGGAGCAAUCACAGUGUCUUUCUUGGGUGAGGAUUGAAAAGGCAUAUUUUUCAGUAAAUAUGUUUCAAAGCAUGUUUGGUAGGGCCUACCUAUAAUCCCAGCUACUUGGGAUGCUGAGGUAGGAGGAUCACAAGUUUGAGGCCGGCCUGGGCAACUUAGUAAGACCCUGUCUCAAAAUAAAGUAAAAUAGUGCUGGAGAUGCAGCUCAGUGGUAGAGCAUUUGUCUAGCCUGUGCCAGGGCCCUGGGUCCAACCCUCAGCACUGCAAAAAUACACAAACACACACACACACACAAGUAUGCUUUGGAUUUCUCCCCAAACAUUUU
This 1211-nucleotide long non-coding RNA is filed under the name Marmota monax (woodchuck). The record is from RNAcentral. Lineage: Eukaryota; Metazoa; Chordata; Mammalia; Rodentia; Sciuridae.